AUUGAACGCUGGCGGCAUGCCUUACACAUGCAAGUCGAACGGCAGCACGGGAGCAAUCCUGGUGGCGAGUGGCGAACGGGUGAGUAAUAUAUCGGAACGUGCCCAGUCGUGGGGGAUAACGUAGCGAAAGCUACGCUAAUACCGCAUACGAUCUACGGAUGAAAGCGGGGGAUCGCAAGACCUCGCGCGAUUGGAGCGGCCGAUAUCAGAUUAGCUAGUUGGUGGGGUAAAAGCUCACCAAGGCGACGAUCUGUAGCUGGUCUGAGAGGACGACCCAGCCACACCUGGAACUGAGACACGGUCCAGACUCCUACGGGAGGCAGCAGUGGGGAAUUUUGGACAAUGGGCGCAAGCCUGAUCCAGCAAUGCCGCGUGCAGGAUGAAGCCUUCGGUUGUAAACUGCUUUUGUACGGUAACGAAACGGUGAAGCUCUAAUAAAGCUUGCUAAUGACGGUACCGUAAGAAUAAGCACGGCCUAACUAACGUGCCACG
This 492-nucleotide ribosomal RNA is filed under the name uncultured bacterium. RNAcentral describes it as "bacterial SSU rRNA". It matches the Rfam family "Bacterial small subunit ribosomal RNA", at positions 30 to 512 of the family's 1533-position model. The record is from RNAcentral.